Molecule: transfer RNA, 71 nt
Filed under: Ictidomys tridecemlineatus (thirteen-lined ground squirrel)
Lineage: Eukaryota; Metazoa; Chordata; Mammalia; Rodentia; Sciuridae
Description: Spermophilus tridecemlineatus (thirteen-lined ground squirrel) tRNA
Rfam family: tRNA
About the family: Transfer RNA (tRNA) molecules are approximately 80 nucleotides in length. Their secondary structure includes four short double-helical elements and three loops (D, anti-codon, and T loops). Further hydrogen bonds mediate the characteristic L-shaped molecular structure. tRNAs have two regions of fundamental functional importance: the anti-codon, which is responsible for specific mRNA codon recognition, and the 3' end, to which the tRNAs corresponding amino acid is attached (by aminoacyl-tRNA synthetases). tRNAs cope with the degeneracy of the genetic code in two manners: having more than one tRNA (with a specific anti-codon) for a particular amino acid; and 'wobble' base-pairing, i.e. permitting non-standard base-pairing at the 3rd anti-codon position.
Source: Rfam by way of RNAcentral
GGGUGUCUGGCUUAAUGGUGAAGAGCUUGCUUGGCAUGCAUGAGGCCCUGGGUUUGAUCCCAGCACUUCUA